UUAGCAGAAAAUGAGCUGGGUAAGGGGAGAGUCCUUGCAAUCCGAAGGCGCUGAGGCUGCUCUGUUUGUUAUUCAACAUGCAUGGACAAACAAUGAGAAUACAAGACACAGAUAACAGGCAGUUCUAGGGGAGCUGGUCUUUGAAAAGCCCCUUCAGAAAGCAUGGGUGUACUACUGUAUGUGUCCUUUAGCAUGUAGUGCACUUUUAGAGCUGUGCAUUUUUUCCCCCGUGCAGUUUAAAAUAAAUCCAACAGGGGCCGUGUUUGUUGAGCUGAUUUGACCGGUUGAUACAGAUAGCAGUGGCGAGCCUCCCUGCUUAUGUGGAAAAAAGACUAUUUUAAGUGUCAUAAUUAAGUUUAGAAUCCUUGUUUGGGCUCAUUCACUGCUCGAAAUGAGGAGGACUGGCUGCUUUUAGGUCCUUUCUGCAGGGGAUUGGCCCAACGCCUGUGCACGUUCAGUUGGAGAAGAAUGUUUUCUUUUCUAGUUUAAUAUUAGAAACUAUAUUUUUACUUGUUUAAACCGGAUUUGAUUAUUCCCGUGGAGAUUCCCCCCCGCCCCGUCUAUCACUCAAAUCUUUGUUCAUUGUUCACUGACUGUGGCAGGCUGCUUAAGAGUACAGAGACCGAGGGGGAGGCCCCCUGGCUGGUUUGAUGUUGAAAUAGUAAACCGGCAUGAGGAGGGUGGCUGGAAAAGUGGACAUUGCAGCUUUAAUUAACUUCAAGAUGCUUCAACGAGGACCAGAGCAUAGUAGUGACGUUGCCUCAUAAAUCUGUCCAGUGCAGUGUGUUGCAUUGAACUAUUACAGUAUCACCGUCAUAUUGAAUAUUCACUACCUAUCCGGAGCGGAUUUGCAUAAUUGGACCUUUUUCUUUUUUUAUGAAACUUGUUUGCAAAAACCAAACCAAACACCCAAGUGAAAACCGCGGCGAUCUGCAUGAUUAUAAAGGGUUCAAAUCUAUCCGAAAAUACAGCUCAGAGGCUCCACAUAGGCACUGGAUAUCCAGAAGACCACUAAGCAGGCGGUAAUGGUAGUCGAGAUGGGAGAUGAUGAGGGUCUGGACAAGAGUGGUGGUGGCUGUUUAGAUAGAAAAGGUUGGUUCUUUAAAAUAUUGUUCAGGAAGAAGUGGCAAGACU
RNAcentral lists this long non-coding RNA (1134 nucleotides) under Chrysemys picta bellii (western painted turtle). Its description in RNAcentral is "lncRNA (ENSCPBG00000016150.1)". Lineage: Eukaryota; Metazoa; Chordata; Testudines; Emydidae. The record is from RNAcentral.